GUCGGAGAGUUCUAUAUCUCAAAAUGUAUUCACGAGAAUUGAUAAUUCAGCUGAAGCUUUGCCAAGUGAAAAAAACGUUGAAUUUUUUGAAAUUAUUCUGUGAAAGGAAGUGCAAAUAUGAUUUAAUAAUCAUAGAGUUGAGGAAAAAGUCUCAUUGCAACUCGAUAUUAUUAAAUUAUUAAAUAUCAAACUAUGUAGUGAUUGGUGACGUUAGACUAAAAUGUAGACGUCAGCUCUAUGAUGCUCCCUUAAUUUCUCAUUCAAGAAAGGAUGGAUAAAAUGAGACUGAUAUCUGAGUAUGAGUUAUAUUUUGAUAAAAAUUAAAUUCAAACAUUGAAAAUGAAAUUAAAGAAUUAAAUCACCUACGUGCGUAUUCUGCAGAGGUAGCUAUUUGAAUUUUCCGCAUUAAAUUCAAAUUAAUUUUAUUGUUUAUCAAGAAAGAUAAUCGAUACAUGUAGAUAAGCCAUCUCCUGCCACAUCAGGUAACCAUCUCUCCUCUAAUUAUGAUUCGGUCGUGGAAAAUCAUUGUUGAGGCAACUAAGAGUUUCCAAAUAUAACUUGUCUCAACGAGAAAGGAUUUUGUUAAAUCUUUUGAAAAAAUCGAAACGCAGAUAUAACAUGGUCCUCCAAUAAGUUCUACAAAUUCAAGACUAGGAUGAACGAGGCAAAAAAAUUUAUGGAGAAUAAUUUAUUUCUCAAUUGAUGAAAAAAUUCUAGCUUUAGCAUUAUAUAAAUCAUCUCCUAAAGGAUAUCGCCUGUUGAGUAAAAUGUUUGCAUUACCAACAGGUGCUACUCUGAGGAGAUUAUUGCUAAAGCUAGAAUUUAAACCUGGUGUGAAUGCUCAUAUUAUGGAGCACCUUAAAAAGGUUGUUUAUAGGAUGAAUGCAAAAGAAAGAGUUGUGCACUCAUAUUUGAUGAAAUGAGUGUACAAACUUUAAUCUCCUAUAGUCCUUAUAAAGACGAAAUUGUUGGCUUCGAGGACUAUGGAGAUGAAAAAAAGGCUGUUAUAGCCGAUCAUACCAAUGUUUUUUUUAUUAAAGGUUUGUACAAAUCUUAUAAACAACCUUUGCUAUUCACAUUCAGCAGAGGAGCUAUUUAUUCUUAUGAAUUGAAAUCCCUAAUAAAAUUACUCAUAAAAGAAUUAGAAAACAUUGGGUAAGAUGUUGUGGUCACAAUUUGUGAUCAGGGCACCACCAACACAAAGGCAGUGCAAAUACUGCUUCAGGAAGGAAGACAGGAAGAACAUGACCAUUUUGGUUUUUUUGUGGACAACAAAGAGAUUGUUCCUUUAUUUGAUACUCCUCACCUCAUUAAAGGUUUAAGGAACAAUCUCUUGACAAAAGAUGCACAUUUUUUAUAAACGAUGUCCCAAAAAAAGCAAAAUGGAGCCAUAUCUUACAAUUUUAUAAUUUGGACAUAUCUGACCCACCAACGAAGAUAUGUGCCAAAUUAACAGAUUCACAUGUUCUGCCUGAAAAAAUUAAUAAAAUGAAGGUAAAGCUAUGCACACAAGUGUUCAGCAACACUGUAGGAAGUUCAAUGAAAAGAAUUUCUAAAUGGGGUGAGUUGCAAAGAACUACUUGUAUGAUGAUUUAUUCUUUAAAUUUCUACUUGACUUCCUAAUCAAGAUCCAUCUUUAUUUUAAAAUGAUACUGAAACUAAUUUUUUUUCUUUUUUGAGAUAUUAAAGACAAAUGCAGUUUACGUUCCGAAGCAGCAGACACUGCCGAAUUCAUUUUAUUUUUGGAUAAAUUAUUCGAUUCUCUCAAUGUAUCAAAGAUUCGAAAUACACAGAGUAAGUUUUUGAAAGAACCAAUAACGACUAAAUCAGAACAUGAAAUCUUUUGGGAAAACUCAAUCAAAAUUUUUGAAAAAAUGUAUUUUUACGAUGACAAAAAAAAAUGUGGUGGUACCUACCAUAAAAAAUUUUAUUUUGACUUUAAAAGCUUUCGUUUACCUUAAGAGGAGAUUGUUAACUGAAAAAAAUUUCAAAUAUAUCUUGACUGGUGCUUUCAAUCAAGAUUGCCUUGAAAAUUUUUUCAGUUAUAUCCGAAGGCAUGGUGCAAGAAACACUAAUCCAAAUAUUGGCCAGUUCAUGUCCUCUUUCAAAUGCCUUACUUUGAAAAACUUUAUGUCCUCCCAUUCUGUAGGUUCCAACUGUGAAGAGGAUUUGACAUCACAUUGUUUGGAUAAUCUAAAAUCAUUUGUUUUAUCAAAAUAUCCUUUACCUCAAAGUGUUGUGCUUGAAGAUUUAAAUAUAGUCAUUCCGAAAUUAAUAGUCCUUGAACAAAAAUCAAAAUUUAGUAGAUGUACUUUAAUUUAUAUGUGUGGAUUCAUUUGUAAAAUUUCAUUUAAAGAUAAAUUGAUCAAACAAUGUGAUAAAUGUAAAAAAAAUUAACCUUUAACAGUGAAGAAUUGGGGGACAUAGAUAUUAUUCAGGUAAGGCAGUAUAAACACGGAAAGUUGACAAAACCUGGGCAAUGUGUAUCAUUUUUAUUUCGGCAUUCUCUAAAUUACCUUUUCUAUAUUAUUCCGCGAAUUUGUGAAAAAAAAGCAUUUCCCUCUAUUUAAAAUCGUUUUUAAUGAAAUAUUUGGACUUCAAAAUUUUAAACUGUAAUGAACAUAUGUUGGGGGAAAAAGUAUGUGAAACAAUAAUAAGGUGUUCCUUGCACUAGUGGAGCAAGCAGGUAAACGAAAUUAUGAGUGGUACCGAUACAAAAUUUUCCAAGUUCCUUCUAACUUCCCCUAGUGAAGAAUUAAUAGAUCCUAUCAAAAUAGGGGCAAAAAGAAUCUUUGAUACAAAGAGAAAAAAGAAACGAUUUAUUCAUUCAUUUAAUUAUACUUAUAUUUAUUUAUUCAUUUAUUCAUUUAUUUAUUCAAAUCAAUUUAUUUAUGUUAUUCAUUUUUGUUGAAAGUAAUUUUCUUAUUGUUGAAACUAAUUUAUUCAUUUAUCGUUUAUGAUUUAAUGUUGAUGCUCCUUUAUUUAUUCAAUGUUGAUUUAGUUAUACGUAUAUUGUAUAUUUUUUGUUGAUUUUUUCAUUUUUGUUUACUGCUAAUAAAUUAUAUGUUUAUUCUACUAUCGACUUUUAUUUGCACAAAAUGUAAUAUCAUCACAUAUUAUACCAGUUAUUUAUAAAAAAAUUCAAAUGGUAUUUGUUCAUCAUUGAUCUAGUCCCGACCGCCAGGGAGAGUUAAUUUCAAAUGAUUCUAUUUUAGGUAGUGUCGCAUCUAUGUUAUCCGUAAUCUGUGCAGCGUACGAUGGAUCCAUCGGGUUCUAUAAACAUUUCUUGAAUUCAGCGCUGGAUCGUUCGGUGGCUGAUCGGAGUCCAUCGAUUGCAGCGAAAUGAAAGGCUGAUGUUUCUGCUGAAUGAAAGAGAAUGUUUAUGCAGUCAUUUCUUGGGGUUGUUUUGUCAAGUGUCAGUGUGAAGUUAAGUUUGGUUAGGUUUUUUUUUUCUUUCGAUGACGGCAUCGACUGCUAUGGUCAUUAGCCUUUAACCUAACCAUCACCGGACAUGUACAACAUCCAUGACCUACCUAGCCAGGAUUCGAACCCGGUACCUUCGGCCAGUAUAGUAUAAGGAAAGGAUAGUAAGCCAGUGAAGUGCUUUAUUCGAUUCUGUCGAUGUUGAGCGUCAUCUAGUUGUACUCACGUUUUACUCGAAUUUUACUGUCAAAAAUUGGUCCGUAAAGUGGAGCCCUCUGAAAAAAUCGGUGUUAUUUUGAAGAACUAAAAUAUUUGAAAUA
Harmonia axyridis is the source of this 3743-nucleotide long non-coding RNA. RefSeq lists it as uncharacterized. The transcript is spliced from 3 exons. The record is from RefSeq and is a predicted model, not a curated record. NCBI's taxonomy places the organism in Eukaryota, Metazoa, Arthropoda, Insecta, Coleoptera, Coccinellidae.